This 168-nucleotide ribosomal RNA is filed under the name Oxylobium arborescens. RNAcentral describes it as "5.8S ribosomal RNA". It matches the Rfam family "5.8S ribosomal RNA". From Rfam's summary of the family: 5.8S ribosomal RNA (5.8S rRNA) is a component of the large subunit of the eukaryotic ribosome. RNAcentral also lists the same sequence under 1 other name. The record is from RNAcentral. Lineage: Eukaryota; Viridiplantae; Streptophyta; Magnoliopsida; Fabales; Fabaceae.
AUAUAAAAUGACUCUCGGCAACGGAUAUCUCGGCUCUUGCAUCGAUGAAGAACGUAGCGAAAUGCGAUACUUGGUGUGAAUUGCAGAAUCCCGUGAACCAUCGAGUCUUUGAACGCAAGUUGCGCCCAAAGCCAUUAGGCUGAGGGCACGCCUGCCUGGGUGUCACAC